This 949-nucleotide ribosomal RNA is filed under the name Pycnococcus provasolii. RNAcentral's name for it is "partial Bacterial large subunit ribosomal RNA". It matches the Rfam family "Bacterial large subunit ribosomal RNA", at positions 1963 to 2911 of the family's 2925-position model. Lineage: Eukaryota; Viridiplantae; Chlorophyta; Pseudoscourfieldiophyceae; Pseudoscourfieldiales; Pycnococcaceae. The record is from RNAcentral.
AAUUCCUUGUCGGGUAAGUUCCGACCUGCACGAAUGGAGUAACGACUUUCCCACUGUCUCAACCAUGGACUCGGCGAAAUUGCACUACGAGUAAAGAUGCUCGUUACGCGCGGCAGGACGGAAAGACCCCGGGACCUUUACUAUAGUUUGGUAUUGGUGUUUGGUACGGCUUGUGUAGGAUAGGUGGGAGACUGUGAAGCCCAGACGCCAGUUUGGGUGGAGUCAACGUUGAAAUACCACUCUGGUCGAACUGGAUGUCUAACUUCGGACCGUGAUCCGGUUCAGGGACAGUGCCUGGUGGGUAGUUUAACUGGGGCGGUUGCCUCCCAAAAUGUAACGGAGGCGCCCAAAGGUUCCCUCAGCCUGGUUGGCAAUCAGGUUUCGAGUGUAAGUGCACAAGGGAGCUUGACUGUGAGACCGACGGGUCGAGCAGGGACGAAAGUCGGGACUAGUGAUCCGGCACCACCUUGUGGAAGGGGUGUCGCUCAACGGAUAAAAGGUACCCCGGGGAUAACAGGCUGAUCUUGCCCAAGAGUCCAUAUCGACGGCAUGGUUUGGCACCUCGAUGUCGGCUCGUCGCAUCCUGGGGCUGGAGUAGGUCCCAAGGGUUGGGCUGUUCGCCCAUUAAAGCGGCACGCGAGCUGGGUUUAGAACGUCGUGAGACAGUUCGGUCCCUAUCCGCUGCGCGCGUAGGAGUCUUGAGGAGGGCUGUCCUUAGUACGAGAGGACCGGGACGGACGAACCUCUGGUGUGCCAGUUGUCCUGCCAAGGGCACGGCUGGUUGGCUAUGUUCGGAAGGGAUAACCGCUGAAGGCAUCUAAGCGGGAAUCUCACUCCAAGACGAGGUACCCCAGAGUUAAAUCUUGAGAGACCCCCGGGAGACGACCGGGUUGAUAGGCGCGAGGUGGACAGCGGGUAACCGACUGGAGCUGACGCGUCCUAAUGGUCA